This 406-nucleotide ribosomal RNA is filed under the name uncultured bacterium. RNAcentral describes it as "partial 16S ribosomal RNA". It matches the Rfam family "Bacterial small subunit ribosomal RNA", at positions 30 to 526 of the family's 1533-position model. The record is from RNAcentral.
AUUGAACGCUGGCGGCAGGCUUAACACAUGCAAGUCGAGCGAGCGGCGGACGGGUGAGUAAUGUCUGGGAAACUGCCUGAUGGAGGGGGAUAACUACUGGAAACGGUAGCUAAUACACCAUACAAUCCGAUGUGCCCAGACGGGAUUAGCUAGUAGGUGGGGUAAUGGCUGACCUAGGCGACGACACCUAGCUGGUCUGAGAGGAUGACCAGCAACACGGGAACUGGGACACGGUCCAGACUCCUACGGGAGGCAGCAGUGGGGAAUAUUGCACAAUGGGCGCAAGCCUGAUGCAGCCAUGCCGCGUGUGUGAAGAAGGCCUUCGGGUUUUAAAGCACUUUCAGCGAGGAGGCGUUACUCGCAGAAGAAGCACCGGCUAACUCCGUGCCAGCCGCCGCGGUAAUAC